AGCAGCCGCGGUAAUUCCAGCUCCAAUAGCGUAUAUUAAAGUUGUUGCAGUUAAAAAGCUCGUAGUUGAAUUUCGGGGUUAGUAGGUUGGUCAUGCCUCUGGUAUGUACUGGUCUCACUGAUUCCUCCUUCCUGAUGAACCGUAAUGCCAUUAAUUUGGUGUUGCGGGGAGACUGGACUGUUACUUUGAAAAAAUUAGAGUGUUUAAAGCAGGCUAACGCUUGAAUACAUUAGCAUGGAAUAACGGAAUAGGACGUUCGAUCUUAUUUUGUUGGUUUCUAGGAUUGACGUAAUGAUUAAUAGGGAUAGUUGGGGGCAUUAGUAUUCAAUUGUCAGAGGUGAAAUUCUUGGAUUUAUUGAAGACUAACUACUGCGAAAGCAUUUGCCAAGGAUGUUUUCAUUAAUCAAGAACGAAAGUUAGGGGAUCGAAGACGAUCAGAUACCGUCGUAGUCUUAACCAUAAACUAUGCCGACUAGGGAUCGGAUGAUGUUAAUUUUUAAUGACUCAUUCGGCGCCUUAC
This 520-nucleotide ribosomal RNA is filed under the name uncultured Glomus. RNAcentral describes it as "SSU rRNA". It matches the Rfam family "Eukaryotic small subunit ribosomal RNA", at positions 569 to 1091 of the family's 1831-position model. The record is from RNAcentral. Lineage: Eukaryota; Fungi; Glomeromycota; Glomeromycetes; Glomerales; Glomeraceae.